AGCUUUGCGCAGUGGCAGUAUCGUAGCCAAUGAGGUUUAUCUGAGGCGUGAUUAUUGCUAAUUGAAAAGGCCUGUGAAAGUCUCAAAUCAGUAACC
Molecule: small nuclear RNA, 96 nt
Filed under: Chinchilla lanigera (long-tailed chinchilla)
Lineage: Eukaryota; Metazoa; Chordata; Mammalia; Rodentia; Chinchillidae
Description: U4 spliceosomal RNA (ENSCLAG00000020686.1)
Rfam family: U4 spliceosomal RNA (bases 1-69)
About the family: U4 small nuclear RNA (U4 snRNA) is a component of the major U2-dependent spliceosome. The structure of U4 snRNA from yeast and human has been reported.
Source: RNAcentral